GACGAACGCUGGCGGCGUGCCUAAUACAUGCAAGUAGAACGCUGAAGAGAGGAGCUUACUCUUCUUGGAUGAGUUGCGAACGGGUGAGUAACGCGUAGGUAACCUGCCUUGUAGCGGGGGAUAACUAUUGGAAACGAUAGCUAAUACCGCAUAACAAUGGAUGACACAUGUCAUUUAUUUGAAAGGGGCAAUUGCUCCACUACAAGAUGGACCUGCGUUGUAUUAGCUAGUAGGUGAGGUAAUGGCUCACCUAGGCGACGAUACAUAGCCGACCUGAGAGGGUGAUCGGCCACACUGGGACUGAGACACGGCCCAGACUCCUACGGGAGGCAGCAGUAGGGAAUCUUCGGCAAUGGGGGCAACCCUGACCGAGCAACGCCGCGUGAGUGAAGAAGGUUUUCGGAUCGUAAAGCUCUGUUGUAAGUCAAGAACGGGUGUGAGAGUGGAAAGUUCACACUGUGACGGUAGCUUAUCAGAAAGGGACGGCUAACUACGUG
Molecule: ribosomal RNA, 497 nt
Filed under: uncultured bacterium
Lineage: Bacteria
Description: partial 16S ribosomal RNA
Rfam family: Bacterial small subunit ribosomal RNA
Source: RNAcentral